This 862-nucleotide ribosomal RNA is filed under the name uncultured bacterium. RNAcentral's name for it is "bacterial SSU rRNA". It matches the Rfam family "Bacterial small subunit ribosomal RNA", at positions 60 to 930 of the family's 1533-position model. The record is from RNAcentral.
AGUCGAGGGGUAUAGUAGCAAUACUAGAGACCGGCGCACGGGUGCGUAACGCGUAUGCAAUCUACCUUUUGCAGAGGGAUAGCCCAGAGAAAUUUGGAUUAAUACCUCAUAGUAUAGUGAUGCCGCAUGGUACUACUAUUAAAGUCACAACGGCAAAAGAUGAGCAUGCGUCCCAUUAGCUAGUUGGUAAGGUAACGGCUUACCAAGGCAACGAUGGGUAGGGGUCCUGAGAGGGAGAUCCCCCACACUGGUACUGAGACACGGACCAGACUCCUACGGGAGGCAGCAGUGAGGAAUAUUGGACAAUGGGCGCAAGCCUGAUCCAGCCAUGCCGCGUGCAGGAUGACGGUCCUAUGGAUUGUAAACUGCUUUUAUACGAGAAGAAACAUCCCGACGUGUCGGGACUUGACGGUAUCGUAAGAAUAAGGAUCGGCUAACUCCGUGCCAGCAGCCGCGGUAAUACGGAGGAUCCAAGCGUUAUCCGGAAUCAUUGGGUUUAAAGGGUCCGUAGGCGGUCUUAUAAGUCAGUGGUGAAAUCUCCCCGCUCAACGGGGAAACGGCCAUUGAUACUGUAGGACUUGAAUUAUUAGGAAGUAACUAGAAUAUGUAGUGUAGCGGUGAAAUGCUUAGAGAUUACAUGGAAUACCAAUUGCGAAGGCAGGUUACUACUAAUGGAUUGACGCUGAUGGACGAAAGCGUGGGUAGCGAACAGGAUUAGAUACCCUGGNANUCCACGCCGUAAACGAUGGAUACUAGCUGUUGGGAGUAAUCUCAGUGGCUAAGCGAAAGUGAUAAGUAUCCCACCUGGGGAGUACGUUCGCAAGAAUGAAACUCAAANGAAUUGANGGGGGCCCGCACAAGC